AAGCCAUGGUGAGAGCACCGUCUCAAUAGAUCCUUGUAUCUCUCCCAUGCAUCAUAUAUUGUCUAUAAGUCGAUCUGAACAAAGGAAGAUAUGUUAUUCCUCAACUU
Small nucleolar RNA from Gossypium raimondii (Peruvian cotton), 107 nucleotides. It matches the Rfam family "Plant small nucleolar RNA R71". From Rfam's summary of the family: R71 is a member of the C/D box family of snoRNAs containing the C (UGAUGA) and D (CUGA) box motifs. Multiple nearly identical copies of this snoRNA have been identified in Arabidopsis, and it is thought to function as a 2'-O-ribose methylation guide for 18S ribosomal RNA. NCBI's taxonomy places the organism in Eukaryota, Viridiplantae, Streptophyta, Magnoliopsida, Malvales, Malvaceae. The record is from Rfam.